GAUGAACGCUGGCGGCGUGCCUAAUACAUGCAAGUCGAGCGAACAGACGAGGAGCUUGCUCCUCUGACGUUAGCGUCGGACGGGUGAGUAACACGUGGAUAACCUACCUAUAAGACUGGGAUAACUUCGGGAAACCGGAGCUAAUACCGGAUAAUAUAUUGAACCGCAUGGUUCAAUAGUGAAAGACGGUUUUGCUGUCACUUAUAGAUUGAUCCGCGCCGCAUUAGCUAGUUGGUAAGGUAACGGCUUACCAAGGCGACGAUGCGUAGCCGACCUGAGAGGGUGAGCGGCCACACUGGAACUGAGACACGGUCCAGGCUCAGACGGGAGGCAGCAGUAGGGGAGCUGCAGAAAGGGGAGAAAGCCGGACGGAGCAACGCCGCGGGAGUGAUGAAGGUCUUCGGAUCGGAAAAGUCUGUUAUUAGGGAACAACAAAUAUGUAAGUAACUAGGCACGUCGUGACGGUAGCUAAUCAGAAAGCCACGGCUAACUACGUG
RNAcentral lists this ribosomal RNA (497 nucleotides) under uncultured bacterium. RNAcentral's name for it is "partial 16S ribosomal RNA". It matches the Rfam family "Bacterial small subunit ribosomal RNA", at positions 28 to 507 of the family's 1533-position model. The record is from RNAcentral.